Molecule: long non-coding RNA, 684 nt
Filed under: Olea europaea subsp. europaea
Lineage: Eukaryota; Viridiplantae; Streptophyta; Magnoliopsida; Lamiales; Oleaceae
Source: RNAcentral
CACAAAUGUACUAAACCCACAACCCACCCACAUGGCUGGAAUUUUCUCUUCUUCUUCCUUCUCCAUUGCUAUUUUCAUUUUUUUGACAAAAAGAGCUCCACCAGCAACUAAGAUGAUGAACUUUUUCCCAAAUAAUGGAGAAAUCCGAAGCUCCGACCCGUGAAAAACUCAACACGUCCAUCAUCACUCUAGAAAACUAAUCCCAGGUUUAAUUUAUUGUCUGCUAUCAGCCCUGAAUUUAAGGCUCGAUUAUUUUAGUUUUUUAGUUUGUAACUUUUUUAUUUGAUUUUAUGUUGCUGUGGGACAAAAUCUGGGCCAGAAACUGAAAAAGCAAAAAAAGUCAUGCUUUUGGCUAGCAAGUAAGUUCACAAAACCAUUCCCCCAUCGUCGCUACCUUAGCUCCACCUAGUAUGGUCCAAAGUCCAGCCAAGUCCGCCACCAACCUCCUAGUUGCUGCCAUGUUUCAAAGGCUAUUCCCACUUUGGUUCGUAACCCUCCCCAUUCCUCCAUUGUUUUUGGUAAUUAAGCUGCUUAAAUUCUAGUUUUAAUUUCUCAAUAAUUUGUUGAUUUUAUGUUCUUGAAUUUUGUAAUUUACAUGUAAUUUCUUUCUAUCUCUAGACUUAAUAAUGUAUAAUAAGUGGAACAAUUGAGAAAGUCAGAGAAAUCAGUCUAGAUCUACAUUUG